AGAGGCUCACUCUGUCUCGUGGCUCCCCCAGGGCUCAGGCUGAGUGCAGAUCUGAUCUGCUGGCCCUGCUCUACAGCACGCUGGGGCUCUGCCUGUGCAUCCCCAUCUGUGGCUUCCCGGCGUGGCGGCCUGUUCCCUCAAAAGGAGGGUGGCUCUGCUCUCCUGCCAGCCCGUCUCAGCAGAUCACAAGAUGGAAGCUGGCAGCCUAGUGGGUGUGCCACUCAAGCCAGUGGUGACCUGUGACUUCUGCUUCCUGGAUCGUGGGGUGCCCACCCAGGAGAGCACAGGUAUGCCCCACACCCCUGACCUUGAGGGCGCUGGGAGGUGGGGGACCAAUGUGCUCUAUCCCUGUGUGUAUGCCCUGAAAGGUGGCCUAGGAGUCCUGUGUGCGCCCAUCCACGUGGGGUCCCAGGAGCU
This 417-nucleotide long non-coding RNA is filed under the name Homo sapiens (human). RNAcentral's name for it is "non-protein coding lnc-CNST-2:1". The record is from RNAcentral. Lineage: Eukaryota; Metazoa; Chordata; Mammalia; Primates; Hominidae.